Molecule: ribosomal RNA, 1158 nt
Filed under: Salmonella enterica subsp. enterica serovar Eastbourne
Lineage: Bacteria; Pseudomonadati; Pseudomonadota; Gammaproteobacteria; Enterobacterales; Enterobacteriaceae
Description: partial 23S ribosomal RNA
Rfam family: Bacterial large subunit ribosomal RNA
Source: RNAcentral
GGGUUGUGAGGUUAAGCGACUAAGCGUACACGGUGGAUGCCCUGGCAGUCAGAGGCGAUGAAGGGCGUGCUAAUCUGCGAUAAGCGCCGGUAAGGUGAUAUGAACCGUUAUAACCGGCGAUACCCGAAUGGGGAAACCCAGUGUGUUUCGACACACUAUCAUUAACUGAAUCCAUAGGUUAAUGAGGCGAACCGGGGGAACUGAAACAUCUAAGUACCCCGAGGAAAAGAAAUCAACCGAGAUUCCCCCAGUAGCGGCGAGCGAACGGGGAGGAGCCCAGAGCCUGAAUCAGCAUGUGUGUUAGUGGAAGCGUCUGGAAAGGCGCGCGAUACAGGGUGACAGCCCCGUACACAAAAGCGCAUGUGCUGUGAGCUCGAUGAGUAGGGCGGGACACGUGGUAUCCUGUCUGAAUAUGGGGGGACCAUCCUCCAAGGCUAAAUACUCCUGACUGACCGAUAGUGAACCAGUACCGUGAGGGAAAGGCGAAAAGAACCCCGGCGAGGGGAGUGAAAAAGAACCUGAAACCGUGUACGUACAAGCAGUGGGAGCACCCUUUGGGGUGUGACUGCGUACCUUUUGUAUAAUGGGUCAGCGACUUAUAUUCUGUAGCAAGGUUAACCGAAUAGGGGAGCCGGAGGGAAACCGAGUCUUAAUUGGGCGUUAAGUUGCAGGGUAUAGACCCGAAACCCGGUGAUCUAGCCAUGGGCAGGUUGAAGGUUGGGUAACACUAACUGGAGGACCGAACCGACUAAUGUUGAAAAAUUAGCGGAUGACCUGUGGCUGGGGGUGAAAGGCCAAUCAAACCGGGAGAUAGCUGGUUCUCCCCGAAAGCUAUUUAGGUAGCGCCUCGUGAAUUCAUCUCCGGGGGUAGAGCACUGUUUCGGCUAGGGGGCCAUCCCGGCUUACCAACCCGAUGCAAACUGCGAAUACCGGAGAAUGUUAUCACGGGAGACACACGGCGGGUGCUAACGUCCGUCGUGAAGAGGGAAACAACCCAGACCGCCAGCUAAGGUCCCAAAGUCAUGGUUAAGUGGGAAACGAUGUGGGAAGGCCCAGACAGCCAGGAUGUUGGCUUAGAAGCAGCCAUCAUUUAAAGAAAGCGUAAUAGCUCACUGGUCGAGUCGGCCUGCGCGGAAGAUGUAACGGGGCUAAACCAUG